Chroicocephalus ridibundus (black-headed gull) is the source of this 837-nucleotide long non-coding RNA. RefSeq lists it as uncharacterized. The record is from RefSeq and is a predicted model, not a curated record. Lineage: Eukaryota; Metazoa; Chordata; Aves; Charadriiformes; Laridae. The transcript is spliced from 5 exons.
GACCCAGUGAGUCGACUUACAGAGCUGGUGAAAGGUAACUCAGGCUGAAGCAAUUUUUACAAAUGAUAUGCAGCAGUUCAUAAAUCGCAUUUUCCUUUGCUGAUCUGUAGCCCAAGGAUGCAAAAAUCCUUCAUCACCUCAUCACAAACAUCUCUUCUUAUCUGCUGCUGAAGACUGACCAUGUACAAGCUGCCUUUAUGCUGAAGGAUGCCACCCUGAAAUGGCUACUCAAGAGUCAUUACUCAAAGGAAUAGCCCGGGGGAAAAAAAAACACACACACAAAACCACCAAGAAAACCACAAAACAAACCCACUCACCCCUCCCAAUCAUGCCCCCUCCCAAAACAAGAAAGAACCCGAGGAAAUAAUCACUGGCAAAGUCUGGAGAUGAUACAGUAAUUGAAGAAAAACAGCCAUGGAACAGCGAAGAGAAUGGAUUACUGCCACCACACUACCUGAACUGCCCAGGCAGGCUGGCACUACAAAAUAACAGAUGGACGGUGCUGUGAGUCCUGGAGAGACUUGGGAGAGGCAGAAGCUGAGCUGGAUCCUAGAGGAAGACAGGAAGUCAUCCUUCAUCCCUCUAUGGAGACAGAAGUUGGGGAAGACAAGAAAUUAGUGAAGGAAAAAGAAGACAGACAGGAUGGGGGUGGGGAGCAGUGAGGCCGACCUGAAAAGAUUUGUGAUCACUACACUAGGAAAUAGAUGAGAUUUUGGAGCUAAUUUACUACAGUCUAAUUUACAUGUGAAAUCUGAGGUAAGGGUCAAUGCACACUCUAACAAGGAACAAUAUGAAAAUGUUUUCUGAUAAUCUGCCCCAAGUCUCUUUAAAAAUCAC